CUCAUCACCCCCAUGUGAGGACCCAAGGAGAAGGUGGCAUCAGUAAGCCAGAAGGAGAGCCCUCACCAGAGCCUGACCAUGCUGGCACCCUGAUCAAAGACUUCCAGUCUCCAGAUCUGGGAGAAAACUCAUUUCUGUGGUUUAAGUCCUCAGUCUGUGGUUUUUAUUAUGGCAGCUCAAGCUGACCUGGAUAGGAGAAGGCUUCCUGUAGGAGUGGACCUUUGAGCUCCAACUUGAAGGAUGAGCAGGAAUUUGCUAGAAGAGAGGUGCAAUUUGCAGGACGGCAUGUUCAAAGGUGGAGCGGCUGCAAGUGCAUGUCAUGUUCUGGUGACAAAGGACAAGAUGUUGGAUGGACUGGAGUGCAGCAGCGGAGGGCUGUGAUCCAAUCUGAUUUCCUGAAAAGCCACUCUACCAGGGGCUGGAGAAGGGAUGGUGGACCAGAUGAGAAGUAAAGGAGGCCUGAGGCCCCAGGAGAAUCUCCAUGGACAGUGGAGCCUGGCGGGCUACAGUUCAUAGGGUCACAAAGAGUCGGACACGACUGAAGCGACUGAGCGUGCACGCACACACAGUGGAUUGUGGGUGGACAGCCCAGAGGUGAGGGGGAGUCGUGGGGCCGUCUAAGACAUGAAACAAGAAGUGGCUGCAGUACCUGGGGGAGAGCCCAGGGUCACUGGAGCCUCUUUCUAUGAGAGGCGCCCACAGAUGGAAGAGGGCAUGGCCCGAUGGGACACGUGGGCAGCCAGUGCUUGGUUGGAGUCACUUGGGAGGGAGAUCGUGCUGUGGCUAACACUCAGUUGAGACAGGGCCAGUAAUAAGAGAGGCUCAUAAAUCUGAC
This is a long non-coding RNA of Bos taurus (domestic cattle), 835 nucleotides long. NCBI's taxonomy places the organism in Eukaryota, Metazoa, Chordata, Mammalia, Artiodactyla, Bovidae. The record is from Ensembl.